CAGCAGCCGCGGUAAUACGAAGGGUGCAAGCGUUGUUCGGAUUUAUUGGGCGUAAAGGGUGCGUAGGCGGUUUGGCAAGUCUUGUGUGAAAUCUUCGGGCUCAACCCGAAGCCUGCGCGAGAAACUACCGGGCUUGAGUAUUGGAGAGGUGAGUGGAAUUUCCGGUGUAGCGGUGAAAUGCGUAGAUAUCGGAAGGAACACCUGUGGCGAAAGCGGCUCACUGGACAAUAACUGACGCUGAUGCACGAAAGCUAGGGGAGCAAACAGGAUUAGAUACCCCCGUAGUCCCUGUCUCUUAUAC
This 301-nucleotide ribosomal RNA is filed under the name uncultured bacterium. Its description in RNAcentral is "partial 16S ribosomal RNA". It matches the Rfam family "Bacterial small subunit ribosomal RNA", at positions 509 to 807 of the family's 1533-position model. The record is from RNAcentral.